Molecule: small nucleolar RNA, 147 nt
Organism: Meriones unguiculatus (Mongolian gerbil)
Lineage: Eukaryota; Metazoa; Chordata; Mammalia; Rodentia; Muridae
Product: small nucleolar RNA SNORA48
Exons: 1
Source: RefSeq, a predicted model, not a curated record
AGCCCCUGACAAUAGGCAAAGAGACACCUUGGUGGUGGUGGUGGUGUUCUUAUAUCAGUUAGGGGAAGAACAGAUGGCAGCCCUUUCUUUAUCCUAGCUUGAUGCCUGGCAUGGUGGUCAAAGCUGUCUUAUGCCUAAGACUCAUAA